Molecule: ribosomal RNA, 797 nt
Filed under: uncultured Porphyromonadaceae bacterium
Lineage: Bacteria; Pseudomonadati; Bacteroidota; Bacteroidia; Bacteroidales; Porphyromonadaceae
Description: bacterial SSU rRNA
Rfam family: Bacterial small subunit ribosomal RNA
Source: RNAcentral
AGAGUUUGAUUAUGGCUCAGGAUGAACGCUAGCGAUAGGCCUAACACAUGCAAGUCGAGGGGCAGCACAUGAAGUAGCAAUACGGAUGGUGGCGACCGGCGCACGGGUGAGUAACGCGUAUGCAACCUGCCUACAACAGGGGAAUAACCCGUUGAAAGACGGACUAAUACCCCAUAACACAGGGAUCCCGCAUGGGAAUAUUUGUUAAAGAUUUAUCGGUUGUAGAUGGGCAUGCGUUCCAUUAGCUUGUUGGUGAGGUAACGGCUCACCAAGGCAACGAUGGAUAGGGGAACUGAGAGGUUUAUCCCCCACACUGGUACUGAGACACGGACCAGACUCCUACGGGAGGCAGCAGUGAGGAAUAUUGGUCAAUGGACGCAAGUCUGAACCAGCCACGUCGCGUGAAGGAAGACGGCCCUACGGGUUGUAAACUUCUUUUGUAAGGGAAUAAAGUGUAGUACGUGUACUAUUUUGCAUGUACCUUACGAAUAAGGAUCGGCUAACUCCGUGCCAGCAGCCGCGGUAAUACGGAGGAUCCGAGCGUUAUCCGGAUUUAUUGGGUUUAAAGGGUGCGCAGGCGGGAGAUUAAGUCGGCGGUGAAAUUUUGCAGCUCAACUGUAAAAGUGCCUUCGAAACUGGUUUCCUUGAGUGUGGAUGAAGUAGGCGGAAUUUGUGGUGUAGCGGUGAAAUGCAUAGAUAUCACGAGGAACUCCGAUUGCGCACGCAGCUUACUAAACCAUAACUGACGCUCACGCACGAAAGCGUGGGGAUCAAACAGGAUUAGAUACCCUGUAGUC